GCGUCAGUAGUGCAACGGGUCAGAGCACACGCUUCCAGAAAGGUGAGAUGUAGAUUCAAGUUCCGCCUGACGCG
Molecule: non-coding RNA, 74 nt
Organism: Parelaphostrongylus tenuis
Lineage: Eukaryota; Metazoa; Nematoda; Chromadorea; Rhabditida; Metastrongylidae
Source: the annotation of a GenBank genome assembly